GGAAAAUGAAAAUGAUUUUCCACCUCCUUGUCCACCCAUACCACCUGGCCCGAAGUUAAACCCACUUUGACCUGGUCCACCACUUGUGAAGUAUGUAUAUCCACCGUGAUCUCCAGAGCUGCCAACAUCAAAUCCAGGAGCUCCCUUCUCAUCUCCAUAUAGGUCAUAGUUUUUCCUCUUCUCCUCGUCGGACAGAAUUUCAUAAGCGUUAUUAAUCUCAGCAAAUUUCUCUUGUGCACCCUUACUUUUGUUCUUGUCCGGAUGAUAUUGGAGUGAGAGCUUGUGAAAAGCUUUCUG
RNAcentral lists this unclassified non-coding RNA (297 nucleotides) under Hevea brasiliensis (rubber tree). Lineage: Eukaryota; Viridiplantae; Streptophyta; Magnoliopsida; Malpighiales; Euphorbiaceae. The record is from RNAcentral.